AUGCAAAAUUCUAUCGAUUUCUGUUCUGCCUCAUCGUCGACAAGUUCCAAUUAUUCUUCACCGCCGGCUGUAUUAGACAUCGAUCAAGUUCUCGAAAAAUGCCAAAUUUGCUACCAACCUGGUCAUGGCUAUCAUUUUGGAGCGUUUAUUUGUCGUGCAUGUGCUGCGUUUUUUCGACGAUGCCAUUUUUCAUUGGCACUCGAUCAGAGAAAAUGCCGACUGUUGUCAGGAUCUUGUCAGCCGAAUAAAAAUGGGAGAUGGUUCUGUAAGAAGUGUCGUUUUGACAAAUGUUUGGAACUGGGAAUGACCACUACAAAUAUUCAAUAUGAUCGAGAUGCAUUCAAAUCGUCGGCUUCUUUUUUGAAAAAUAAAUCAGUAGCGAAAAGAGUCGCCGAUCGAGUUUCUGUUCCAAUGGUGAGAUCUUGAACAUUUAAAAAAGUUGUUUGAAUAUUCAAUUACACAUAGUUUUCAUCGCAUGAAAACGCAGCAAAAGUAUCAAUAUAAAAAUCUUCCAUGCAGACGUAAAAUAGGCAUACAAAGUCUGCGCGGAGCCCGCUUUUAGCACUCGGACGGAAACAUUGUAUCACGUAUCCAUGUUCGAGUGAGAAAAAUCGCCACAUCUUACGCGCAAAAAGCACCUGCGUCUCUUUUUCUCGCACGCUGUCUAACGUCUAUUCAAAACGCCUAUGGCGAGAGAGCGUGUGGAGAAGAGAGACGCAGACGUUUCAGCAGUUCUCAUCAAACCAACGACACGUAAUAUACAAUGUUAAAAACGUUUUUCAAACACCACCAACUGCACUCGGAAAAGCAGGGCGAACGCUAGACGAAACCGAUCAGAGGAUUUUGUGCCAGAAUGUAAAACACGCAAUUUCAUAUUACACAUAUAAAUUUCACAAACUUUUCCAAUAACAAUUAAAAACACCUAAACAAAUUUCAGACGGUCGAAUCAGCGCUUGGCAUAAAUCCUAUCAUGAUUUUUACAUAUGCCGACGAAAAUAAACAAUUCCCAUUUAUUGAUAUAUCACAACUUGUGGACAAGGCAUUGUCAUCAAUCCUCACGCCAAUAUCAGUCCGAAAAAUUAAAAAGAUGAGCAACUUAGAGCAGCUGACUCAAGGAUUAGACGAGUUUCAGUGGACUCAAAAAGAAAGUGUUUCGCAAAUCGUCCGUCUAUCUGCAAACGAUCACUUGAAUGAUUUUCAAACAUACAUGUGUGCAGCGGCAAAAUGGCUGUCAUAUUCGGAUAGAAUUCGAAAUUUGGAUGAUGAAUUGAAAAUACAAAUUUUGCAAUGUAUUUGGUUCAACUGGGGACGGUUAGAACGAAUCGCAACGACGGCAAAAAUGAGGAAUAAACGGAAGUGUGGGAAAAAGCAGUUUGUAUUUUCGAAUAAUAUACUACUUGACUACGAUGAAAUGUCUUCUGAUUUGAGCUUCUGGUCAAAUUAUACAUUCGAGGAAAUGAAAUACUUUUUUAUACCGACUGAAAUGUUUUACGAUGAGGUGAUUUGUGAAAUGGAAGAAGUACAACCUGACAAUAUGGAAACUACUUUCAUUAUAAGCCUUAUGUGCUUCCAUCUAACAGGAAAACAAUUUGGUGGGCAAGUUCAAGAAGAAAUGGAUCAACUGCAAGAUCUCUUAUCGGAUGAACUUCACGAGUAUUAUCUAAAGAAAAAUAUGACGAUGUACUCUUUGCGACUCAAGCAGUUGAUGAAAAUCAAGGAAAAGUUCCUCAAGCUUCGAUAUAAACGCUGUGAAAAAUAUAAGAUUGCAGGAAUAUUUGAGGCGUUUCAUACGAACUUGUCAAAUCCCGAGUUUUUCAUGAUUCCUGCUUAA
RNA transcript from Caenorhabditis elegans, 1831 nucleotides. It is a transcript of the gene named Non-coding transcript of protein-coding gene nhr-117, with no coding region annotated. The transcript is spliced from 6 exons. The record is from RefSeq and is marked reviewed. Lineage: Eukaryota; Metazoa; Nematoda; Chromadorea; Rhabditida; Rhabditidae.